UACGGAGGGUGCAAGCGUUGUCCGGAUUUAUUGGGUUUAAAGGGUGCGUAGGUGGCCUGUUAAGUCCGGGGUGAAAGCCCACAGCUCAACUGUGGAACUGCCCUGGAUACUGGCGAGCUUGAGUCCAGACGAGGUUGGCGGAAUGGAAGCUGUAGCGGUGAAAUGCAUAGAUAGCUUCCAGAACCCCGAUUGCGUAGGCAGCUGACUAGGCUGGUACUGACACUGAGGCACGAAAGCGUGGGGAGCGAACAGG
This 253-nucleotide ribosomal RNA is filed under the name uncultured bacterium. RNAcentral describes it as "partial 16S ribosomal RNA". It matches the Rfam family "Bacterial small subunit ribosomal RNA", at positions 524 to 776 of the family's 1533-position model. The record is from RNAcentral.